This is an RNA transcript of Rhinopithecus roxellana (golden snub-nosed monkey), 3819 nucleotides long. It is a transcript of the gene named MLLT11 transcription factor 7 cofactor, with no coding region annotated. Lineage: Eukaryota; Metazoa; Chordata; Mammalia; Primates; Cercopithecidae. The transcript is spliced from 3 exons. The record is from RefSeq and is a predicted model, not a curated record.
ACCUGACCUUGAGAUCCUUCCUGAAGGCUGUGUACACUCUGUUUAUCUGUGUCCUGUAUUACUGCACUCCUGUGUGUACACCUCUGUUUGCACAUGUGUGGCAUGGCCAUAUCUCCACAUGUGUCCAGUACAGAUCAUCUGUGUACAGCUUGUGGGUACAUGUGCCAGGUAUCUUCUGUCCCAUGAGGAAUAUUUUCCCCACCGUCCACAUGUCCUAUCUGCCACUCUGCUCUGCCUCACACCCUAUAGGGCCCAGGCUCUCCUCCAGCUGCGACCUGUUCUCCCCUCCCUCCUCACCAAUUCCAUCCUCAAGCUUCAUCAGUCAACCAGACACAAGGAACUUUCCAAUAGUACUAGUGUCCAGGGAAGAACUUCCUCCCUUCUCACUACUGCCAGCCAGGGUAGGACACACCUGGGUUUCUUCUUAGACUCACUUGCAUUUCGCCAGUCCUAUAGUACAGACAACCUCAAAGAUUCCAAAAAGGGGAGUUUCAUAAAUAUGACACUUUAACAUGAACAGGAAUCUCCCUUUCUUCCAGGCCAGGAACACUGAUGCUUUGGCACCCUAGACUGAUUUAAAAACAAGAGAUAGGCCGGGCGUGGUGGCUCACGCCUAUAAUCCCAGCACUUUGAGAGGCCAAGGCGGGCGGAUCACCUGAGGUCAGGAGUUUGAGACCAGCUUGACCAACAUGGUGAAACCUCAUCUCUGCUAAAAAUACAAAAGAUUAGCUGGGCGUGGUGGCGGGCUCCUGUAAUCCCAGCUACUUGGGAGGCCGAGGCAGGAGAAUCACUUGAACUGGAGGUUGCAGUGAGCCAAGAUCGUGCCAUUGCACUCCAGCCUGGACAACAAGAGCGAAACUCCACCUCAAAAAAACAAAGCAAAACAAAAAAGAAAAAACGAGAUAGCAGGGUGUAGUAGCAUGCGCCUGUCAUCCCAGGUACUGGGGAGGCUGAGGCAGGCGGAUCACUUGAGCCCAAGAGUUGGAGGCUACAGUGAGCCAUGUCUGCACCGCUGUACUCCAGCCUGGGUGACAGGGCAAGACCCUGUCUCAAAUAUAAAACACACACACACACACACACAGAGAGGUUUUUUAACAGCCUUGAGAUGAGAUCACACAAACACUCAAAUGCAGCUUCUAGGGGAAGGGAGAACCCAGGAGGCUAGGCUUUCUCUUACUUCCCUUCUCACCACUGGAAGGGAGGAGUAACCAGAAGGAGCGGAAGCUAAAACACAGCUGUCCAGAGAGGAGAGCUGUGGUCAGUGGGACAUCACAGCCUCAGCCUGCGCACCCCAGGAGCGUGGAUGAGGACGGCCACCCCGGGCGCGCACCCCGUUCCCAACGCCCCAGCAUCUCUGCAGCCCAAGACAUCCGCCUUCCCUACACCCCGCAUCCGGUGUGUCUCCGCCCGGCCCUGCCGGCGCGGCGGGCGGGCCAGGGGACCAACUGCACGGCCUCACCUGCUAUUCUCCGGUAUCCAGACGUUCAGCUACAGCUGGAGGGGGUUAGGGGCUCUGCUCCGUGGCCGCCAGUGUGGGCUUCCCGGGAUAGCUCUGCGGCCCGGUGGGGGAGCCCAGGACGAGCCGGCAGAGGUGGGGCCGGCUGAGGGCGGAAGCGGCGGCGACGCGAUUACGAAACCCGUCCGGCUCGGAGCCGAGCGCACAGCCGAGCGCUCCCCUCUGGACUGCGGAGGCACUGCACUGUGCGGGCGUGGGCUGGUGCCUCUGCAGCGCCCCAAGGCCGCCGCCCCUGAGGGGAGAACCGGAGAAUGCGGACACCUAGAUAAGGGCCUGGCACCCAAGCCGGGGCCCCCGAAAUCUCACGUUCCCUUUGCGCGCCAGGCAUGUCGGGGCAAAACGAAGCGGAGCCCCCCAAACCCCGAGAACUAACCAAGUUCAGAGAUUCGCAGAAGCACGCCCCCCCACCCCAAAUCUCUUUUGUGCUCUACCCAAAAUGGAAUAGGACUAGGUUUAUUUACCCAUUGUGAGGGUAGAGAGGCGAGUCGGGAGGAUCAGGGAUUGGGAGAAGGGGUGGAAAAAUAGGAUUCUUAAAAACACCUUGUAACCUGAAGUCCUUAAAUUGUAGAAGAAAGGAACACUACUUUCCAUUGUAGUCUAGAGUUAAGAUUUCAAGUCCAUAAAUUAGAGGACCUAAAAUUAGAGGGCAGUUAACUGCUCAUUCAUUGCGUCCCCAGUCAGCACGGGGGUGCUGGAGGAGAUCGGGAAUAAUAGCGCAGACCAAUGAGCCUACGGAGACGCUUUAAUCGUCUCUUUCCCUCAAGUGUUCUGGAACCCAUCAUUUGAAUUAGCCGAGUCAGGCAGGAGGGGGCGGGGAAUCCUUCCGCCCUUCUUAGGAGGGGCUGCAUUGCAGGGGGAGAGUUAACUGACAGACUCAGUCACUGAAGAGGGAAAAGGAGUGAGAAGACAAAGCCGUCAAAGCCCCAACAGCUUUGGUUUUCUCCAGCCCGGCGCAGAUCCCGGAGCCCCCGAGGCAGUCCCUCCAUCUUUGGAACACGCCAAUAAUUGAUUGAUAACAGGAAGCUAUGAGGGACCCUGUGAGUAGCCAGUACAGCUCCUUUCUUUUCUGGAGGAUGCCCAUCCCAGAACUGGAUCUGUCGGAGCUGGAAGGCCUGGGUCUGUCAGAUACAGCCACCUACAAGAUAAAAGACAGCAGCGUUGGCAAAAUGAUCGGGCCAGCAACUGCAGCAGACCAGGAGAAAAACCCUGAAGGUGAUGGCCUCCUUGAGUACAGCACCUUCAACUUCUGGAGAGCUCCCAUUGCCAGCAUCCACUCCUUCGAACUGGACUUGCUCUAAGGCCAAGACUUCUCUCUCCCACCACCUUGCCCUCGUUGUCUUCCCUCUCAAGCCCCUUCCUUUCCACUCCUUUCCCAUUUUAAUCUUCUCUCUCUAUUGUGUUGGUGGUGCUGAUGAAUCUGCCAGAGUUGAGUUCUAUGUAUUUAUUUAUCUGUCUACUCCAUUUCUCUCAAAAGCCCUCAAGUCACAAAGUAAAUGGUUCAAGCAGUGGACUACUGGGUCACAGGGAUUCCUCCUUCCCCCCCAAAUAUUAACUCCAGAAACUAGGCCUGAUUGGGGACACCUGAAAGUAGUAUAGUAGUGCAAAAUGGAAGACUGAUUUUUAACUCUAUUUUAAUCAGCUUCAGAGAUUCUUUAAACCUUCCUGAUUUCCUGCUCCAGGCCAGUAAACACAAAUAUUUCUUCAAGGGGUGAUGAAAACCUCGGAAGUUUUAAUCUGAAGUUAUCUGCUAUGAAACAGUAUUUCUAAAAGGCUAAAGUGAUAAGUCUCAUGCUUUUUUUUUUUUUUUUUUUUUUUUUGAUCCUGCUCUUUCUUAUAUUCUUUUUCUUCCUCAGAGAAAUCAGGAGGGUAGUUGGAGGUAUAAAACAGGAAUAUUAUGGAAAAUGAAAAUAGGGAAGAUAACUGAAUCAUUUUAGAAGUAGCUUAUUUCUUUUCUCAAGAGUAUCCCUUCUUCAACCCUACUCACUUUACAACUUUGCUCCUGUGGGUUGAAAACUCUAGCUAAAGAAAGUUAUCAAAUCUUAAUAUGCAUUCCUACUAUUAUAGUUUUUAAGGUUUCAAUGCAAUAUUCUGAACGGCAUAAGUCCUUAGUAUUUUAGCCUUACCUCCUGCAUUUGCAAUAUGUAAUACUAAUCAGUGGGCACAGUUCUUCAGCUACAUUGAGACCCUGAAAUGAACAAUUACAUUCUGACUCUACAUCUUGUCCUCAAUCCUUCCAAAAUUAUUGUUGCUGAUUUGUGCUGCCAUUUAACUCAUUUAUUUAAUAAAAACAUUCAAUCCCAGGA